UUAAAUUGAAGAGUUUGAUCAUGGCUCAGAUUGAACGCUGGCGGCAGGCCUAACACAUGCAAGUCGAACGGUAACAGGGAGCAGCUUGCUGCUUCGCUGACGAGUGGCGGACGGGUGAGUAAUGUCUGGGAAACUGCCUGAUGGAGGGGGAUAACUACUGGAAACGGUGGCUAAUACCGCAUAACGUCGCAAGACCAAAGAGGGGGACCUUCGGGCCUCUUGCCAUCAGAUGUGCCCAGAUGGGAUUAGCUUGUUGGUGAGGUAACGGCUCACCAAGGCGACGAUCCCUAGCUGGUCUGAGAGGAUGACCAGCCACACUGGAACUGAGACACGGUCCAGACUCCUACGGGAGGCAGCAGUGGGGAAUAUUGCACAAUGGGCGCAAGCCUGAUGCAGCCAUGCCGCGUGUAUGAAGAAGGCCUUCGGGUUGUAAAGUACUUUCAGCGGGGAGGAAGGUGUUGUGGUUAAUAACCGCAGCAAUUGACGUUACCCGCAGAAGAAGCACCGGCUAACUCCGUGCCAGCAGCCGCGGUAAUACGGAGGGUGCAAGCGUUAAUCGGAAUUACUGGGCGUAAAGCGCACGCAGGCGGUCUGUCAAGUCGGAUGUGAAAUCCCCGGGCUCAACCUGGGAACUGCAUUCGAAACUGGCAGGCUUGAGUCUUGUAGAGGGGGGUAGAAUUCCAGGUGUAGCGGUGAAAUGCGUAGAGAUCUGGAGGAAUACCGGUGGCGAAGGCGGCCCCCUGGACAAAGACUGACGCUCAGGUGCGAAAGCGUGGGGAGCAAACAGGAUUAGAUACCCUGGUAGUCCACGCCGUAAACGAUGUCUACUUGGAGGUUGUGCCCUUGAGGCGUGGCUUCCGGAGCUAACGCGUUAAGUAGACCGCCUGGGGAGUACGGCCGCAAGGUUAAAACUCAAAUGAAUUGACGGGGGCCCGCACAAGCGGUGGAGCAUGUGGUUUAAUUCGAUGCAACGCGAAGAACCUUACCUGGUCUUGACAUCCACAGAAGAAUCCAGAGAUGGAUUGGUGCCUUCGGGAACUGUGAGACAGGUGCUGCAUGGCUGUCGUCAGCUCGUGUUGUGAAAUGUUGGGUUAAGUCCCGCAACGAGCGCAACCCUUAUCCUUUGUUGCCAGCGAUUAGGUCGGGAACUCAAAGGAGACUGCCAGUGAUAAACUGGAGGAAGGUGGGGAUGACGUCAAGUCAUCAUGGCCCUUACGACCAGGGCUACACACGUGCUACAAUGGCGCAUACAAAGAGAAGCGACCUCGCGAGAGCAAGCGGACCUCAUAAAGUGCGUCGUAGUCCGGAUUGGAGUCUGCAACUCGACUCCAUGAAGUCGGAAUCGCUAGUAAUCGUGGAUCAGAAUGCCACGGUGAAUACGUUCCCGGGCCUUGUACACACCGCCCGUCACACCAUGGGAGUGGGUUGCAAAAGAAGUAGGUAGCUUAACCUUCGGGAGGGCGCUUACCACUUUGUGAUUCAUGACUGGGGUGAAGUCGUAACAAGGUAACCGUAGGGGAACCUGCGGUUGGAUCACCUCCUUACCUUAAAGAA
Molecule: ribosomal RNA, 1554 nt
Filed under: Salmonella enterica subsp. enterica serovar Typhimurium
Lineage: Bacteria; Pseudomonadati; Pseudomonadota; Gammaproteobacteria; Enterobacterales; Enterobacteriaceae
Description: bacterial SSU rRNA
Rfam family: Bacterial small subunit ribosomal RNA
Source: RNAcentral